UUACAGGGAGCUUGUAGCUCGGAGGAUCAAGUGCAAGAGAUUUCAGGAGUUGCUAUCUUCCAGUGUCCGCGAGGUGAGUCUUCUCACUAUACCUCACCCGGAAGGGUUUGAUUGUGUGACCGGAAGGUCAAGUAUGCUAUGUGUUAUUUUAUAUGCUAUAAAUGGAAAGUUAGCUGCUACGCGUGAUAUACAUGCUUAUAUAUGGGCCGGAAGGCAAGGUAUUGUGUGACAGAAAGGUCAGGUAUGAUAUAUGAUAUAUGUGCUUUAUGUGUUAGAGUAAUUGUAUUAUGUGUUAUACAUGUGUAUGGGCCGGAAGGCGAUAUAUAUUAUGUGGAUCGAAAGGUCCGGGCCGGAAGGCAAUGUUAUGUGGAUCGAAAGAUCCGGGCCGGAAGGCAAUGUUAUGUGGAUCGAAAGAUCCGGGCCGGAAGGCAAUGUUAUGUGGAUCGAAAGAUCCGGGCCGGAAGGCAAUGUUAUGUGGAUCGAAAGAUCCGGGCCGGAAGGCAAUGUUAUGUGGACCGAAAGGUCCGGGCCGGAAGGCAAUGUUAUGUGGACCGAAAGAUCCGGGCCGGAAGGCGAUGUUAUGUGGAUCGAAAGAUCCGGGCCGGAAGGCAAUGUUAUGUGGAUCGAAAGAUCCGGGCCGGAAGGCAAUAUUAUGUGGACUGAAAGGUCCGGGCCGGAGGGCGUAUGUGCGUAAGGUAUAUUGGGGAACUCACUAAGCUUCGUGCUUACGUUGUUUAUGUUAUGUUGUUUCAGGUUCUUACAGUAAUGCGGGAUGGCAACGGUUCGAUUGUACACACCGAAGAAAGAGUUGUGUUUUGGAGGAUCCUGGUCUUCUAUUAUAA
This 842-nucleotide long non-coding RNA is filed under the name Lactuca sativa (garden lettuce). RNAcentral's name for it is "long non-coding RNA (LSAT_LNC007471)". The record is from RNAcentral. Lineage: Eukaryota; Viridiplantae; Streptophyta; Magnoliopsida; Asterales; Asteraceae.